Molecule: unclassified non-coding RNA, 239 nt
Filed under: Hevea brasiliensis (rubber tree)
Lineage: Eukaryota; Viridiplantae; Streptophyta; Magnoliopsida; Malpighiales; Euphorbiaceae
Source: RNAcentral
CUUGAGGUAUCCAGACAACAUUUGCUUGGGCCACAGAUUGAUUCUACCAUGCAUUGAGAUUAUCAGAUGUGGUGAAAGCUCCAAAAGCUUGUAAGUAGUCUGGAAAUAGUCCUUCAUAUUUCCACCACCUUUAAUGUCCAGAACAGCACUCCCUUGCCCAACACAGUGGUCCCCUACAACAAGGGAGUUCGUCUCAAGAUGAAGCAAAGCAAGGUGACCAUCAGUAUGACCCGGGGAAG